RNAcentral lists this ribosomal RNA (472 nucleotides) under uncultured organism. RNAcentral describes it as "partial 16S ribosomal RNA". It matches the Rfam family "Bacterial small subunit ribosomal RNA", at positions 334 to 797 of the family's 1533-position model. The record is from RNAcentral.
CACUCCUACGGGAGGCAGCAGUGGGGAAUAUUGCACAAUGGGCGCAAGCCUGAUGCAGCCAUGCCGCGUGUAUGAAGAAGGCCUUCGGGUUGUAAAGUACUUUCAGCGGGGAGGAAGGCGAUAAGGUUAAUAACCUUGUCGAUUGACGUUACCCGCAGAAGAAGCACCGGCUAACUCCGUGCCAGCAGCCGCGGUAAUACGGAGGGUGCAAGCGUUAAUCGGAAUUACUGGGCGUAAAGCGCACGCAGGCGGUCUGUCAAGUCGGAUGUGAAAUCCCCGGGCUCAACCUGGGAACUGCAUUCGAAACUGGCAGGCUAGAGUCUUGUAGAGGGGGGUAGAAUUCCAGGUGUAGCGGUGAAAUGCGUAGAGAUCUGGAGGAAUACCGGUGGCGAAGGCGGCCCCCUGGACAAAGACUGACGCUCAGGUGCGAAAGCGUGGGGAGCAAACAGGAUUAGAAACCCGGGUAGUCCCA